RNAcentral lists this long non-coding RNA (1140 nucleotides) under Cicer arietinum (chickpea). RNAcentral's name for it is "long non-coding RNA (CARI_LNC001139)". Lineage: Eukaryota; Viridiplantae; Streptophyta; Magnoliopsida; Fabales; Fabaceae. The record is from RNAcentral.
AUUGGCAAGCGAUUCGCAAGCAUCAGUGUGGAUAAUGUCGAAGCGAACAGGCGUAUUCUUCGCGAGCUCCUAUUCACUGCCCCUGGUUGUCUAGAAUGCCUCAGUGGUGUGAUCUUGUUUGAGGAAACACUGUACCAAAAAACUGCUGCAGGUGCUCUAGAUGCUAAUUGUUUCUAACAUUUUGAACAUACAUUGCAAUCAUGCUAGUGCUAACACUUCAAUUUUUAUUUUUCAUUUCGCUAAUUGUUAAAAUAGCGUUUCUCCAACUGAACUUACAAAUUGAUUUUGUAAAGAUGAAUUAAGUUCAAUAUUAAAACUUAAUAUAGUGUCAGAGUCUAUUCAUCUUCACAUCCAUAUCUAUAUUCACGUACCAAACUCAAUAGUUCUGAACAUGAAAGGUGUGUUGAGAAAAACUUAAGUUUCACAUUGAAUAUACAUAAAGUCUAAAAUUAGCUUAUAAAGAGUGACACUGCACACUUUAAAAUCUAUUAGCGGGAGCCGUGAAGUGGAUUAUUGAUUAAGUGUGGGGUGUGAACAUAGUUAGGAUGCUUUUCUUUAAAGAAAAUCAUAAUGUUAUUGAUGAUCUUGAACAUAUUUGUGUAUAGGAGAACCCUUUGUAGAGGUAUUGAAGAAAGGUGGAGUUCUUCCUGGUAUUAAGGUUGACAAGGGAACUGUUGAACUUCCUGGUACAAAUGGAGAAACCACAACUCAAGGUUUAGAUGAUCUUGGUCAAAGGUGCAAGAAGUACUAUGAAGCCGGGGCAAGGUUUGCAAAAUGGCGCGCGGUCCUAAAGAUCGGUCCAAACGAACCAUCUCCAUUGUCCAUCCACGAAAACGCCUAUGGUUUAGCUCGUUACGCCGUCAUAUGCCAAGAGAAUGGCCUUGUUCCAAUUGUGGAGCCUGAGAUUCUAGUAGAUGGAUCACACGACAUCCAAACGUGCGCUGAUGUAACCGAGCGCGUCCUCGCAGCGUGUUACAAGGCUCUUAGUGACCACCAUGUUCUUCUUGAAGGCACCCUUUUGAAGCCAAACAUGGUCACACCAGGAUCAGAUUCAGCAAAGGUUGCUCCUGAGGUUAUAGCCGAACACACGGUUCGAGCAUUGUUGCGAACCGUUCCAGCUGCAGUUCCUGCUAUAGUUUU